UGGAUGAGUGGCGAACGGGUGAGUAACACGUGAGUAACCUGCCCCCUUCUUUGGGAUAACGCCCGGAAACGGGUGCUAAUACUGGAUAUUCACUGAUCUUCGCAUGGGGGUUGGUGGAAAGGUUUUUUCUGGUGGGGGAUGGGCUCGCGGCCUAUCAGCUUGUUGGUGGGGUGAUGGCCUACCAAGGCUUUGACGGGUAGCCGGCCUGAGAGGGUGACCGGUCACAUUGGGACUGAGAUACGGCCCAG
Molecule: ribosomal RNA, 248 nt
Filed under: uncultured bacterium
Lineage: Bacteria
Description: partial 16S ribosomal RNA
Rfam family: Bacterial small subunit ribosomal RNA
Source: RNAcentral